CCCUUAGAUGUUCUGGGCCGCACGCGUGCUACACUGAGUGGAUCAGCGGGUCAGGUUGCGCGAAAGUGUUUCCUAAUCUUGAAAUCCGCUCGUGAUGGGGAUUGACGGUUGCAAUUUUCCGUCAUGAACGAGGAAUACCUUGUAAGCGCGGGUCAUCAUCCCGCGCUGAAUACGUCCCUGCCCUUUGUACACACCGCCCGUCGCUCCUACCGAUUGAGUGGUCCGGUGAGGCUUUGGGAUCUGAGCAAAAAGAGCGUUUCGCUCGUUUGGCUCGGAAAACUCAGUCGAACCUUAUCACUUAGAGGAAGGAGAAGUCGUAACA
This 322-nucleotide ribosomal RNA is filed under the name uncultured eukaryote. RNAcentral describes it as "partial 18S ribosomal RNA". It matches the Rfam family "Eukaryotic small subunit ribosomal RNA", at positions 1470 to 1796 of the family's 1831-position model. The record is from RNAcentral.